RNAcentral lists this unclassified non-coding RNA (507 nucleotides) under uncultured Entrophospora. RNAcentral describes it as "SSU rRNA". It matches the Rfam family "Eukaryotic small subunit ribosomal RNA", at positions 591 to 1092 of the family's 1831-position model. Lineage: Eukaryota; Fungi; Glomeromycota; Glomeromycetes; Entrophosporales; Entrophosporaceae. The record is from RNAcentral.
CCAAUAGCGUAUAUUAAAGUUGUUGCAGUUAAAAAGCUCGUAGUUGAAUUUCGGGAUUGACGUGACGGUCAUGCCUUAAGGGGUAUGAACUGUUGCUGUUGAUUUCUCACCUUCUGGAGAAACUUGAUGUCCUUUAUUGGGUGUCUUGCGGAUCCAGGACCUUUACCUUGAAAAAAUUAGAGGGUUUAAAGCAGGCAUUUUUGCCCGAAUACAUUAGCAUGGAAUAAUAGAAUAGGACGGCAUGGUUCUAUUUUGUUGGUUUCUAGGAUCACCGUAAUGAUUAAUAGGGAUAGUUGGGGGCAUUAGUAUUCAAUUGUCAGAGGUGAAAUUCUUGGAUUUAUUGAAGACUAACUACUGCGAAAGCAUUUGCCAAGGAUGUUUUCAUUAAUCAAGAACGAAAGUUAGGGGAUCGAAGACGAUCAGAUACCGUCGUAGUCUUAACCAUAAACUAUGCCGACUAGGAAUCAGACGAUGUUAAUUUUUUAAUGACUCGUUUGGCACCUUACG